CAGCAGCCGCGGGAAUACGAAGGGUGCAAGCGUUACUCGGAAUUACUGGGCGUAAAGCGUGUGUAGGUGGUUGUUUAAGUCUGUCGUGAAAGCCCUGGGCUCAACCUGGGAAUUGCGAUGGAUACUGGGCGACUAGAGUGCGGUAGAGGAUAAUGGAAUUUCCGGUGUAGCAGUGAAAUGCGUAGAGAUCGGAAGGAACAUCUGUGGCGAAGGCGACUAUCUGGGCCAACACUGACACUGAGACACGAAAGCGUGGGGAGCAAACAGGAUUAGAUACCCCUGUAGUCCCUGUCUCUUAUAA
Molecule: ribosomal RNA, 301 nt
Filed under: uncultured bacterium
Lineage: Bacteria
Description: partial 16S ribosomal RNA
Rfam family: Bacterial small subunit ribosomal RNA
Source: RNAcentral